Molecule: ribosomal RNA, 154 nt
Filed under: uncultured bacterium
Lineage: Bacteria
Description: partial 16S ribosomal RNA
Source: RNAcentral
UGAGGAAUAUUGGACAAUGGGUUAGCGCCUGAUCCAGCCAUCCCGCGUGAAGGACGACGGCCCUAUGGGUUGUAAACUUCUUUUGUACAGGGAUAAACCGAAGCUACGCGUAGAAAUCCGAAGGUAAGGGACCCAGCAUCCCCCGGAAAAACCG